Molecule: ribosomal RNA, 253 nt
Filed under: uncultured bacterium
Lineage: Bacteria
Description: partial 16S ribosomal RNA
Rfam family: Bacterial small subunit ribosomal RNA
Source: RNAcentral
GACGAACCGAGCGAACGUUGUUCGGAAUCACUGGGCUUAAAGGGCGCGUAGGCGGGUGCUCAAGUCUGUGGUGAAAUCCUCCGGCUCAACCGGAGAACUGCCAUGGAUACUGGGUGUCUCGAGGGUGGUAGGGGUAUGCGGAACUAUCGGUGGAGCGGUGAAAUGCGUUGAUAUCGAUAGGAACUCCGGUGGCGAAGGCGGCAUACUGGACCACUUCUGACGCUGAGGCGCGAAAGCGUGGGGAGCGAACAGG